AUACAGAGGGUGCAAGCGUUAUUCGGAAUUACUGGGCGUAAAGCGCGCGUAGGCGGAUGAUUAAGUCAGUUGUGAAAGCCCUGGGCUCAACCUAGGAACUGCAUCUGAUACUGGUCGUCUAGAGUUUAAGAGAGGGAAGUGGAAUUCCAGGUGUAGCAGUGAAAUGCGUAGAUAUCUGGAGGAACAUCAGUGGCGAAGGCGACUUCCUGGCUUAAAACUGACGCUGAGGUGCGAAAGCGUGGGUAGCGAACGGGAUUAGAAACCCCAGUAGUCC
This 274-nucleotide ribosomal RNA is filed under the name uncultured bacterium. Its description in RNAcentral is "partial 16S ribosomal RNA". It matches the Rfam family "Bacterial small subunit ribosomal RNA", at positions 523 to 796 of the family's 1533-position model. The record is from RNAcentral.